GUGCCAUUUAUUCGUCACAACAGCCCUAAGAGGUGACUACCGUUAUUAGCCACACUUUUAGGACAGAGAAACUGAGGCUGGAAAGUGGAGGAGGUGGGAUUCCAACCGCGUCUGGAUGACUCAGAAGCCUUCGGUAAGUCCAGCAUUUUCUGCCCCUCGGACGCGGAACCCUCAUGCCGGACAGUCAACACCGCGUCGGUACUCCGAGUUGAUAGAAGGGGCUUCUCUGCGAAGUACCUCGUGGAUUCACCGGUUUACCCAAACCUCCGAAUGGUCAGGGGAGAGGCUGGACAGGAGGACGGUCGCGUGCCCCCUGUUGGACCAGGAGCGCGUGACGACACCCGCGCUUCCCUUCUCCCUCCGGGGUUACCCUCCCCUGGGCUGCCGGAGCCAGUUUUCGCACCACUCUUUGAAGCCGGUGCUCAACCUGCCCGAGGGCUGCAAUCCGGUACCCGCGCAGCUCUCGAGACCUCCUGGCCUCCACCUGGGACUUCUUCUCCUUCUCCACAGUUGGUAAUAGGACUUCUCUCUCCACCUUAAAGAUCAACAAAAUCCCUGCGCCCACCUCUGGUCUCCCUAUUACCAGGACCUCUCUCUUUCCUGCAAGGCUAAGCUUUGCCAGCCAGCCUCACAGCUUCGCCGGCCCCUCACACUUGGGUUCGCCAAUCCAGCCUUUGCCCCUCCUCCACUUUUCACUUCACCUCAUACUCCACCGGAAUUGCUCUGGCAAAAGACGCUGGGAGGAAAACCCAAUUCCAGGGUGAAUUCUCUGAUUGUGAGUGUCUCUGCCUGCUCUGAGGGUGAUUGGCAGGAAGGGAAUGUGAGGAGAAGCUUCGAAUGGCCCACAGGGAAUUCAACCGCAUAUCCUGGUCCAACUAAAACAGUGCUCUCAGCCAACAGGAUGGGCGCUCAGGGAAGAAAGAAGUCAAAUGAUUUCUGACAUCCUACCAAAGUGUUGGUACCUGAUAGCCACUUCUGAGCUCCAAAUGUCACGUCCAGCGUGGCAAGGGCAAAUGGGACACGAGAGGGGCGGCGCAGAUUGAAUAAGUACAAGAGACAGAAGUAAGAUUUAAGAGCGAGACCAAGGGACUCAGCCUUCAGAGAUAGACUGAGCCACUGAAUCAGGUCAACGCAUGGUUUUAUUGAUUCUUUUCAAGAAAG
Long non-coding RNA from Hipposideros armiger (great roundleaf bat), 1161 nucleotides. RefSeq lists it as uncharacterized. NCBI's taxonomy places the organism in Eukaryota, Metazoa, Chordata, Mammalia, Chiroptera, Hipposideridae. The transcript has 3 exons. The record is from RefSeq and is a predicted model, not a curated record.